This 74-nucleotide transfer RNA is filed under the name Cytophagales bacterium WSM2-2. RNAcentral's name for it is "tRNA-Arg". It matches the Rfam family "tRNA". From Rfam's summary of the family: Transfer RNA (tRNA) molecules are approximately 80 nucleotides in length. Their secondary structure includes four short double-helical elements and three loops (D, anti-codon, and T loops). Lineage: Bacteria; Pseudomonadati; Bacteroidota; Cytophagia; Cytophagales. The record is from RNAcentral.
GGAGAUAUAGAUUAAAUGGAAAAUCACUUGGCUACGAACCAAGAGAGUGAAGGUUCAAAUCCUUCUGUCUCCUC